CUAGCAUUGAGUAGAUCAAAUUUCCCCGUAGUGUUUAAAAUCAAUGGUAUAAAAAUACCAUAUUGUAUUGUAUUGUAUACAUAUUGUAUUCAAUAUUCAUUUAUUUUGCUACAAUUUGACAUAUAUAUUAAAUAUGAUUUAAUAUGAAAAAGCAAUACUAUUAACGAAGCAGUACUCAGAAUCAUUUUUCGUUAGCUGAAGAAAAUGAUCCCUAUGAUGCUAUUGACGAAAUCAAACAGAGGCAAAUAGCAAGAAUACUGGAGAGUAUUCCUCAUGUAGCUGUUAACCAAAGUAAUAUUGUACCAUGAACAAUAACUGUGAUUCAUGUUUUGUUAUUAAUAAAACUAACGGAUAUACCUAUUUCUUGUGGACAUAAAUGUUUGUGUUCUGAUUGAAGAGCAAAUAUUUUGAAGCCCAAUAUGCAACUGUCAGAAUACAAACAAUGUGUAUAUUUGAUUGACUAUCACUUCUUCAUUACUAAAAUAAUAUUGUUACUCAUA
Non-coding RNA from Cinara cedri, 500 nucleotides. NCBI's taxonomy places the organism in Eukaryota, Metazoa, Arthropoda, Insecta, Hemiptera, Aphididae. The record is from the annotation of a GenBank genome assembly.